This 481-nucleotide ribosomal RNA is filed under the name uncultured bacterium. RNAcentral describes it as "bacterial SSU rRNA". It matches the Rfam family "Bacterial small subunit ribosomal RNA", at positions 28 to 524 of the family's 1533-position model. The record is from RNAcentral.
GACGAACGCUGGCGGCGCGCUUAAUACAUGCAAGUCGAACGAGAAGCCAGAGCUUGCUCUGGUGGAAAGUGGCGAACGGGUGAGUAACACGUGAGAAACCUGCCCCAAAGAUUGGGAUAAGCCUUGGAAACGAGGUCUAAUACCAAAUACCUUCUUUUUAACACAUGUUAAAAAGAAGAAAUGCUCCGGCGCUUUGGGAUGGUCUCGCGAUCUAUCAGCUUGUUGGUGAGGUAACGGCUCACCAAGGCAUCGACGGAUAGCUGGUCUGAGAGGAUGUCCAGCCACAUUGGAACUGAGACACGGUCCAAACUCCUACGGGAGGCAGCAGUAGGGAAUCUUGCACAAUGAGGGAAACCUUGAUGCAGCGACGCCGCGUGCGGGACGAAGGCCCUAAGGGUUGUAAACCGCUUUCAGUAGGGACGAAAGUGACGGUACCUACAGAAGAAGCCCCGGCCAACUAUGUGCCAGCAGCCGCGGUAAU